CAAUGGAUGGAUCACAGACGAACUUCUACAAUGGAUAGACUCCACCAGCAGGAUCUCUACUCCGAACUUCUUUCGGACUUCGUCAAUGACCGAGCUUCUCCAGCAGUGGGACUCCUACAGUAAAAAGUCUCUAUCUGAGCUUCCACGAUGACUGGCCUUCAUCCGAGCUUCUAUAAUAAGCGGCCUCCUUUCAGACUCCUACA
Molecule: long non-coding RNA, 203 nt
Filed under: Elaeis guineensis (African oil palm)
Lineage: Eukaryota; Viridiplantae; Streptophyta; Magnoliopsida; Arecales; Arecaceae
Description: long non-coding RNA (EGUI_LNC023385)
Source: RNAcentral